UCGCACACCUCCACUCCUGCUCUCUGCCUCCAUCGCCGCCUGCCCCCUGCAUCCACCACCCGCUCGCUCCAGGCAAAGGGCCGCCGCCGCCAGCGCUCUGGUCCCUCCCAAUUUGCGAGUUUUCGGAGGUGGGCGCCCGCGUAGCUCGUCCGUGCUAACAUCCUCUCCCUCGGUGGCUGCCUGCUGCAAGUCUGCAAUUACUUUCUCAAAAUUACUUUCUCAAGACUUCCCGUGGUGGCCGCAGGGCCGCAGCGCAUCAAACCGACGAAGGCUAUACAGGUAGGCCGCAUAUGUGGAGCCGCACCCCAGUAGGCAAGACAGGCGAGUCGUCAUAUCAUGCUACUUGCUUAUUUUCAUCUGAUAUGUGAGUAAUGAAAGUGAGGGGACUGAUUCAGAGAGUAAUUCAUUUGACAAGAACGAUGAGAUGUCUGAGGAUGAGUUGAUAGUGCUAGGUGGGAGAGGUGCUGCUGAAUCUUAUGGUGGAAGUGGAAAAGGAGGCAAGAAAAGGCGCAGGGGGGUGAAGAAGAA
Molecule: long non-coding RNA, 528 nt
Organism: Panicum virgatum (switchgrass)
Lineage: Eukaryota; Viridiplantae; Streptophyta; Magnoliopsida; Poales; Poaceae
Exons: 3
Source: RefSeq, a predicted model, not a curated record